UACGGAGGGUGCGAACGUUAAUCGGAAUCACUGGGCGUAAAGCGCGCGUAGGCGGUCUGUUAAGUGGGAUGUGAAAUCCCCCGGCUUAACCUGGGAACUGCGUCUGAUACUGGAAGGCUUGAGGAUGGGAGAGGGAUGUAGAAUUCCAGGUGUAGCGGUGAAAUGCGUAGAUAUCUGGAGGAAUACCGGUGGCGAAGGCGGCAUCCUGGACCAUUACUGACGCUGAGGCGCGAAAGCUAGGGGAGCAAACGGG
Molecule: ribosomal RNA, 253 nt
Filed under: uncultured bacterium
Lineage: Bacteria
Description: partial 16S ribosomal RNA
Rfam family: Bacterial small subunit ribosomal RNA
Source: RNAcentral